Aedes aegypti (yellow fever mosquito) is the source of this 431-nucleotide long non-coding RNA. RefSeq lists it as uncharacterized. The transcript is spliced from 2 exons. NCBI's taxonomy places the organism in Eukaryota, Metazoa, Arthropoda, Insecta, Diptera, Culicidae. The record is from RefSeq and is a predicted model, not a curated record.
UUUUCGUGAAUUCAUAUGUGACCAAAAAGGGAACCACUACAUAGUCAUAACUAGUACACUUUCCCUACUAUGUAAAAUUUAGCAGAACCCUACUUUUCAGAAAUGAUUCUUAACGAAGUUUUAAAUUUUCACUUGUAUGAAUUCCAUAAUUAAAAUUACAAUUUUCAUUACAUUUUUGAUAACCAUGAUCACAUAAUAACUUUUGUCAGUAAAAACUUAUAUUUUUUUCGGUAAAAAAACAACAUAAGCAUGUUCUGCCGCGUAAUUUAAACACCUGGAUGAUGAGAAAGCGUAUUGAACAGAAAUGUAUCAUGUAACAACAUUUCAAAUGUUCAAAGAUUUUCUAACACUAAUUUUCAAGUCGAAAAUUAUGCUUCUCAGUCAUCUUUUGAUGAAUAUUCAGAGUUUUCCUAAUUUUUGGAACCGAACAG